This 2850-nucleotide unclassified non-coding RNA is filed under the name Hevea brasiliensis (rubber tree). The record is from RNAcentral. Lineage: Eukaryota; Viridiplantae; Streptophyta; Magnoliopsida; Malpighiales; Euphorbiaceae.
AUAAACCCCAUCGCAUUUAGCAAGACUUGCAACAAAAACUUUCCAAUGAAAUCCCAAGCCUUUACCAUAGGAUAUAAUCAAAUCUUAGAAAAUAGAAUUUAUACUUUAAAUAGAAGGCAUUUGAAGUGGUAUCCAUACAAUUUUCAUCUGCAGAAAGGCCUCCGAAGGAGCAUGACAUAAUCAACUAGAUAGCCACAACUCCGGAUGAAAUACGAUCAAAUUGCUUUUUUUUUCUCAAUUUAAUAUAUCUAAAUCAUAUAUAAAGUGGAUAUUCUAAAGUAACAAAUAACUCAUGCAAAAUUGCAAGGGCCAAAAAAAUUAAAUCAGACGGCUCUUCUCCUUUUGUGUUUAUGAGUAUUGUCACUAUCCCUCUGACCUUUAAGAGCUCUCCUUGGUGCCUCAACAGAGAAAGACUUUAGCGGGUCUCUACUUCGCUUAAAUUUGCUCCUGGAUCCCUGACGGCGAGCGGAGUUAUUGUUUCCCAUUGCAGCUCUAGCAAGUUUGACCAUUUUGCUCGCUUCCUUAGUUGUUGGGUCCAGCAGGUAGUCAGGCACAUCACGUAGGUGAGGAGCAGGGGGCUUCUUGCUCAGAACCUUGUCAUGUUUCAAUAGAUCUAAGUCCCUUGGAUUAGCUUUAAAAUGAGCCUUCAACUUCUCAGAAUUGAGUAUUUCAUUCCUCAAAUCCUGAGCUCGUGCUUCCCUGACAGCAACCUUUGUCACACUCUUUGCAGUAUCCUCAGCUCUAUAUCGUAAAGACUCCACUGCAUUCUUAGUGAGUAAAGGAAAAGGAGCAAUUAAGUUUGAAUCCUUGCUCUCAUCAUCCCCUAAAAAGGAUUUUAUAUCUUCAAGAAUUGCCAUCUCAUCUGUAGAAACUAGAGAGACAGAAGCACCAGUGCUAUAUCCUCUUCCAGUACGGCCAAUUCGGUGUACAUAUCCCGCAGCACUCAGAGGCAUAUCAUAAUUUAUAACCGUGUGUACAUUUUUAAAGUCAAUGCCCCUUACGACUCCAAAUUCAGAGUCCAAUCUUUGCUUAGCAUGUCUUUUAGAUUUUCUUGACUCAGCAAGACUCCCACCAGCUUGUUCCUUCUCUUUUGUUUCAUUGUCAUCAGUUGCUAUUAAAUAAUCAAAAAGCCCCGCAUUGAAUUCCUCAAGUAUGUGAAGACGAGAAUUCUGUGGCAACUCAGCAUUUAGAACAGCAGAUUUUAUUCCAAACUGUCAAAAGAUAAACAAGACUAUCAAAAAUGAGAUGCAAAAUAAAUAAAUAAACAAAGAGCACAAUUGUGACACGGUUAGAGUACUGAAGCAUGUUAGCAUUAUUACAAUUACAGAUCAACUUGAAGAACAUCAGUGAACAUAAAAUGCUAAAACAGAAAUUCUCUAGCAUACACAGAUACCGCUUAGAAUACACACAACAUUAAUUGAUAUGCAGUUUAGGAAAUGGUUUCCAGAUCAAUUUAACAGUUUGUCCACCUUAACAACCACUAUUAACAGAAAAACCAACCAUAACUGAAAGUAGCUUGAAGCAUCCACUUAAUGAGCAACUUCUAAAAUCAGUUGGUACAGAUCUAAUAGGAUAUAGAAGCAUUUAUACAGCUUCUAGAAGACUAGGUAGAACUAGUGUGGGAAGUAUCAUAGAUCCAGCCCUUUGUCUAAACACAAUCCAAUGCCUCAUGUCAUAGAUUCAGCUAUUUGCUUAUACAAUGUUCAACAUCUUGAUAGGAAACAACUUCCUAACUCUUAAGCAACAGAAAGAGUAAAAGCCAAGUAUUUUGGAUAAUUUCAUUGAUGCUUUGUAAAGUAGCCAGAACACCUUUUCCAAAAACAGCUUCAGCCUGAAACUCAUGUCAAUGGAAUUAGUAAAUAUCAGAACUUUUUUCUGAACCAGCUCCAGCUUCAAAAGGGCAAGAAUGUGGAGUAACUUGUCCUGAUUACUGCAUGAAAUCCAAAACUGCUGAACAUUUUUGGGGAUAGCUUCAUCCUUUACACCUUCCACUUCUGGCAAAGUCAAAAUGUAUGGAUUAUGUAGAAUGAGCUUCUUCAGUUUAUCAACAUCAGCGCUUGAUGUAGCUGACAUAAGAAGGCAUUGACAACGUCUAGGGACAAAAGCUGUAAGAGCUUUUAGAUCAUCUUCAUAGCCAAAUGACAAUAAAAGAUCUGCCUCGUCAAGAACAAGAAUUUCAAGUGAAUCAUUUAUAGAUGAUGAUUGAAGUGCACCAGCUGACAAGCACUUAGCUACACAAGCAGGAGUUGUUACAAUAACAUCAGGAGGUCCAGCCAAUGCAGUACGCAAAUCAGAAACACCCAUUUUGGUCGUCAACUGUACAGCUUUCAACUGAACUUUACACGAAUCAAUAAGGGAUGAGACCUCUUUAUGAACCUGCUGACACAAUUCCCCACUUGGGACGAGAAUGAAUGCAGAUGGGGCAAGCUUUCUACUGGAACCAGAACUUGCGAACAACUUUUGAAGUAGAGGAAGCAAGUAAGCCAAUGUCUUCCCUGAGCCUGUCUUUGCUCUGGCAACCACAUCCUUCCCUUCGAGUAUUAGAGGAAUAGCGACUCGCUGGAUUGGGGUUGGCUUUGUAACACUAAUUUCCUUCUUGUUUAAAGCUCGAAUUAAACGAGGGUCAAGCCCAAGCUGUUCAAAGGUCUGCUCUUCUUCUUCUUCCUCAGAUUCCUCUUUUAUUUCUUCUUUCUGUUUGGCCUCUUGUGCUGGUUUGUCUUCAGUUUUAGCCAUUGACAUCCCUAACGAGAGACAGAUAAAGAUGCUAUGGCUCAAAAUGUAGGGUUUUGAAAAGGGUUUUGAGGUUACAGAUAGAUUUGGAAUGUGAAACAGUGAAGAAGAGCGAAAAUG